ACACGACUCUUGGCAACGGAUAUCUCGGCUCUCGCAUCGAUGAAGAACGUAGCGAAAUGCGAUACCUGGUGUGAAUUGCAGAAUCCCGCGAACCAUCGAGUCUUUGAACGCAAGUUGCGCCCGAGGCCAUUCGGCCGAGGGCACGCCUGCCUGGGCGUCACGC
Molecule: ribosomal RNA, 163 nt
Filed under: Phalaris minor
Lineage: Eukaryota; Viridiplantae; Streptophyta; Magnoliopsida; Poales; Poaceae
Description: 5.8S ribosomal RNA
Rfam family: 5.8S ribosomal RNA
About the family: 5.8S ribosomal RNA (5.8S rRNA) is a component of the large subunit of the eukaryotic ribosome. It is transcribed by RNA polymerase I as part of the 45S precursor that also contains 18S and 28S rRNA. Functionally, it is thought that 5.8S rRNA may be involved in ribosome translocation.
Source: RNAcentral